UACGGAGGGUGCAAGCGUUAUCCGGAUUCACUGGGUUUAAAGGGUGCGUAGGCGGGUUGGUAAGUCCGUGGUGAAAUCCCCAAGCUUAACUUGGGAACUGCCGUGGAUACUAUCAAUCUUGAAUAUCGUGGAGGUAAGCGGAAUAUGUCAUGUAGCGGUGAAAUGCUUAGAUAUGACAUAGAACACCAAUUGCGUAGGCAGCUUACUACACGGUCAUUGACGCUGAGGCACGAAAGCGUGGGGAGCAAACAGG
RNAcentral lists this ribosomal RNA (253 nucleotides) under uncultured bacterium. RNAcentral describes it as "partial 16S ribosomal RNA". It matches the Rfam family "Bacterial small subunit ribosomal RNA", at positions 524 to 776 of the family's 1533-position model. The record is from RNAcentral.